AUUGAACGCUGGCGGCAGGCCUAACACAUGCAAGUCGAACGGUAGCACAGAGAGCUUGCUCUCGGGUGACGAGUGGCGGACGGGUGAGUAAUGUCUGGGAAACUGCCCGAUGGAGGGGGGUAACUACUGGAAACGGUAGCUAAUACCGCAUAACGUCGCAAGACCAAAGUGGGGGACCUUCGGGCCUCACACCAUCGGAUGUGCCCAGAUGGGAUUAGCUAGUAGGUGGGGUAAUGGCUCACCUAGGCGACGAUCCCUAGCUGGUCUGAGAGGAUGACCAGCCACACUGGAACUGAGACACGGUCCAGACUCCUACGGGAGGCAGCAGUGGGGAAUAUUGCACAAUGGGCGCAAGCCUGAUGCAGCCAUGCCGCGUGUAUGAAGAAGGCCUUCGGGUUGUAAAGUACUUUCAGCGGGGAGGAAGGCGGUGAAGUUAAUAACUUCACCGAUUGACGAUACCCGCAGAAGAAGCACCGGCUAACUCCGUGCCAGCCGCCGCCGUAA
This 504-nucleotide ribosomal RNA is filed under the name uncultured bacterium. RNAcentral's name for it is "partial 16S ribosomal RNA". It matches the Rfam family "Bacterial small subunit ribosomal RNA", at positions 30 to 523 of the family's 1533-position model. The record is from RNAcentral.